UGCGUAGGCGGUUCUGCAUGUCGGAUGUGAAAUCUCACUGCUCAACGGUGGAACGGCAUUCGAAACUGCAGUGCUGGAGUACAGGAGAGGAGAGCGGAAUUCCUGGUGUAGCGGUGAAAUGCGUAGAUAUCAGGAGGAACACCGGUGGCGAAGGCGGCUCUCUGGACUGAUACUGACGCUGAGGCACGAAAGCUGGGGGAGCAAACA
This 207-nucleotide ribosomal RNA is filed under the name uncultured bacterium. Its description in RNAcentral is "partial 16S ribosomal RNA". It matches the Rfam family "Bacterial small subunit ribosomal RNA", at positions 568 to 774 of the family's 1533-position model. The record is from RNAcentral.